This 500-nucleotide ribosomal RNA is filed under the name uncultured bacterium. Its description in RNAcentral is "partial 16S ribosomal RNA". It matches the Rfam family "Bacterial small subunit ribosomal RNA", at positions 30 to 523 of the family's 1533-position model. The record is from RNAcentral.
AUUGAACGCUGGCGGCAUGCCUUACACAUGCAAGUCGAACGGCAGCACGGGAGCAAUCCUGGUGGCGAGUGGCGAACGGGUGAGUAAAGUAUCGGAACGUGCCCAGUCGUGGGGGAUAACGUAGCGAAAGUUACGCUAAUAACGCAUACGAUCUAUGGAUGAAAGCGGGGGAUCGCAAGACCUCGCGCGAUUGGAGCGGCCGAUAUCAGAUUAGGUAGUUGGUGGGGUAAAGGCUCACCAAGCCGACGAUCUGUAGCUGGUCUGAGAGGACGACCACCCACACUGGGCCUGGGACACGGCCAGACCUCCUACGCGAUGCAGCAGUGGGGAAUUUUGGACAAUGGCCGAAAGCCUGAUUCAGCCAUGCCGCGUGCAGGAUGAAGGCCGUCGGGUUGUAAACUGCUUUUGUACGGAACGAAAAGGUUUGGCCUAAUAAGCUGAGCUCAUGACGGUACCGUAAGAAUAAGCACCGGCUAACUACGUGCCAGCAGCCGCGGUAA